Molecule: non-coding RNA, 619 nt
Organism: Pelobates cultripes (western spadefoot toad)
Lineage: Eukaryota; Metazoa; Chordata; Amphibia; Anura; Pelobatidae
Source: the annotation of a GenBank genome assembly
GAGGAAGUGUACCAUCCAGGGGACGGCCGCUCCACAUUUGCACCCUGCUCCCUCUUAUGCUGUGCUGGUGCCUCUGUACGACCACCACCUCUUCCUCAAAACUGCACACAUCACUCGCAUGACCUUCAUUCCAUGUGGGGUCUAGGACCUCAUCAUCCUCCACAUCAUCUUCCACCCACUCCUCAACCCUGCCCUCCUUGCCGGUCUGCACACUGCAGAAUGCCACAGUAGUUGGCACCUGUGUUUCAUCAUCAUCAGAGAUGUGCUGCGGUGGUCCUUGCAUGUCCACAUCUUGACACAUAAGUGGUUGUGCAUCAGUGCACUCAAUUUCUUCCACUUCUGGGGCAGGGCUAGGUGGAUGGCCCACUGAAACCCCGCCAGCAGAGUCAUCAAAAAGCAUAAGAGACUGCUGUAUGACUUGUAGCUCAGACUGCUUGGCUGAUUUGCAAGGGAGUGAGGUGAAAGACAGAUGACCAUGGGCUGCAUGUGCCAACUCUGAGCUUUCAUCAGGGGACAGGGUGAGAGACAAUGUUAAGGAACUGGAUGCACUGUCAGCCAUCCAAUCUACUAUCGCCUGUACUUGUUCUGGCCUCACCAUUCGUAGAGCAGCAUUCGGGCC